Molecule: ribosomal RNA, 525 nt
Filed under: uncultured Mycobacterium sp.
Lineage: Bacteria; Bacillati; Actinomycetota; Actinomycetes; Mycobacteriales; Mycobacteriaceae
Description: bacterial SSU rRNA
Rfam family: Bacterial small subunit ribosomal RNA
Source: RNAcentral
GGGUGCGAGCGUUGUCCGGAAUUACUGGGCGUAAAGAGCUCGUAGGUGGUUUGUCGCGUUGUUCGUGAAAACUCACAGCUUAACUGUGGGCGUGCGGGCGAUACGGGCAGACUAGAGUACUGCAGGGGAGACUGGAAUUCCUGGUGUAGCGGUGGAAUGCGCAGAUAUCAGGAGGAACACCGGUGGCGAAGGCGGGUCUCUGGGCAGUAACUGACGCUGAGGAGCGAAAGCGUGGGGAGCGAACAGGAUUAGAUACCCUGGUAGUCCACGCCGUAAACGGUGGGUACUAGGUGUGGGUUCCUUCCUUGGGAUCCGUGCCGUAGCUAACGCAUUAAGCACCCCGCCUGGGGAGUACGGCCGCAAGGCUAAAACUCAAAGGAAUUGACGGGGGCCCGCACAAGCGGCGGAGCAUGUGGAUUAAUUCGAUGCAACGCGAAGAACCUUACCUGGGUUUGACAUGCACAGGACGCCGGCAGAGAUGUCGGUUCCCUUGUGGCCCUGUGUGCAGGUGGUGCAUGGCUGUCG